UUUCCGUAGGUGAACCUGCGGAAGGAUCAUUACCGAGUCGAGGUGGCCGGGCCCUCGGGCGCCCGGCCACGAACCUCACCACCCGUGUCUACCGUACCCCGUUGCUUCGGCGGGCCCGCCGCUAAGUCGGCCGCCGGGGGACCACCGGUCCCCGGGCCCGUGCCCGCCGAAGACCCCUCGAACACUGCCUGAAGGUUGCUGUCUGAGCGUUUAAAACAAACAAACAAAACUUUCAACAACGGAUCUCUUGGUUCCG
This 256-nucleotide unclassified non-coding RNA is filed under the name soil metagenome. RNAcentral's name for it is "partial contains small subunit ribosomal RNA, internal transcribed spacer 1, and 5.8S ribosomal RNA". The record is from RNAcentral.